Molecule: RNA transcript, 4995 nt
Organism: Helianthus annuus (common sunflower)
Lineage: Eukaryota; Viridiplantae; Streptophyta; Magnoliopsida; Asterales; Asteraceae
Exons: 2
Source: RefSeq, a predicted model, not a curated record
UAUGUUGGUAAUCACCGUAAAAAAUAUAAAGUUAUUAACUUUUUGUUGUCUUCUAAGGGGGUGUUUGUUUUUGGUGAGAAGUACUUCAGACCCUCUUAUGUCUUCCUCACGCAGACCACGCGCAGACGUUUGAGUCUGCAACUUAUUUGUUUUUCAGAAGAGGUUUCAUUAAAAAACCUCUUCCCACCUCUUCCCCAAGCAGACAUGUCCUUAUGUCUUCCAACCUCUUCAAAACUCUUCUCCCUCUUCAAAACACCCAUCUUGUCUCAAAACCCUAGCACACCACCUCCACCUCCACUCCGACACCACCUCCUCCGCCGCCCACCCCUGAUCCGCCACCACCUCCACCUCUUCCGCCGCCCACCCCUGCUCCGCCACCACCUCCACUUCCGACACCACCUCCUCCGCCGCCCACCACCUGCUCCAGCCCUGCUCCACCUCCACUCCGCCACUACCUCCACCUCCGACACCCAUCUUCUCCGACACCACCUCCACCUCCGAUUCAAGCACCAUCGGAGCCACCACAUCGAUCUCCAUCUCCUCCUCUGUUCACCUACCAGUUUUUUGAUGACGUGGAAACUGAUGUGGCAUUUGACUUGGUUUUUUUAUGACAUAGCAGCUGAUGUGGCACUUGUUUAGUAUUGUGGCAGCUGAUGUCAGCAAACUGGCUAAUAAAUUGAAAGUUGAAAAUGAUGUGAUACAAAUCAAAAGUUAGGAAUGUUAUUGCCAACUGGUAAGAGUUGAGGUUAUUUAAAUCUAAUAUAUCUUCUAUGUAUCCUGAAUUCGAUGUAUCAAUAUCAGGAUAAUUAAUAUAAUAAAUUUAUUAAAACUACAAGGCUAGUAAAAAUGUUUUUUGCUACAUGACAGAGCACUAUUGGUUGUUUAUUUUUUUCCAUACAUUAGACAAAAAUAUUGUUUAUGUAGGUAUGGAAUUGCUAUUUCGAUGUGUUAUUUGCUUUGGUGAAUUGGUUUCUUUGAAGUUUAUAUACUUCAUCGGCUCUCGUUCAAGUCCUUUUGCCUUCAUUUUUUUUUCUUUUGGAAUCAUCAGUACGUUAACUAAUGUUUAACACGUGUCUCACUACUUCAUCCUUAUUCGUCAACACAUCCUUCCUCAUGUUCCAUACUUCUAUGUAUCAUGAAUUUCAUUUUUUUUCUUUGCAAUCAUCAAUACGUUAAGCAAUGUUUAACAUGUGUCCCACUAUUUUGAUAAGGAUUGAAAUUGAAUGAACUUGAGAUUGAUUAAUCAAUGGUCAAGUUCUAUUAACGUUCAGGAAACUCAAUGGGAAGAAUGAGCUUCGGAAGGUCGUUAAUGGCAGUUGAGAGAGAAUUUAGGAGGGAAACUGAUUAUUAUUUCACAAGAUACCCUAUACUAUUACAACUGUUACUAUUUAUAAUCCCACCCCAACAACCCUAUAACUGACAGCUAACAAUCUUUGUAACAACCGUUCAACUAACUAACGACCCCUGUUGUAACCACCCACCACUAACAACCCCUGCUGCUAACCUCUGUUACUAAUACCCUCUGCUACUGAUCCACUGUUGCUACUAAUCCACUGUUAUUAGUAACCCCUGUUGUACAUUUAUCCACUGAUAACACCUCUAUCCACUGCCCUUUAGCCCACUGAUCAUUUAUCCAUAUCAAUACCCUCCCGAUAACCUGAUCCUUGACCCCAAGGAUCAAAAUUUGGAAAUUUCUGCAUCAUCAACUUAGCAUCUUCCCAAGUUGCAUCUUCCACCCCCACAUUUUUCCAUUAAUCAGCCAUUACACCAACAUUCUAUUGAAUUUUUUAAGAACCCUAGUGUCCACCACACUCUCAGGUUCCUUAACAGUGGUUUGCAGCACUUCCUCAUUAACCACCGCUGUUGAAGUGGGCUCAGGACCAUAAUACUUUUUUAGCAAUGAUACGUGUACUGUAGGAUGAAUAGCAGACCCAGCUGGUAACUGCAACGUGUACGCUACUUCUCCUACCUUAGACAAAAUCAAAUAUGGUCCAAAAUAUUUGGCUGUCAACUUUUGAUUGAGCCGCUGAGUCACUGACUGCUGUCGAUAGUGUUGUAACUUCAAAUAUACCCAGUCUCCUAUUUGGAAACUCCUUUCCGUUCGAUGAGCAUCAGCCAACUGUUUCAUGCGUUGUUGAGACUUCCUCAAAUUUUCUUUCAAAAUAUUAAUCACCUCCUCCCUAAUGACCAAACUUCUAUCCACUGCUUCAUUGUUAUUUUCUCCCGGUAAAUAUGGUAAAUGUAUAGGUGGAUGCUGACCAUAGACGACCUCAAAUGGAGUGCAUCUGAUAGCUGACUGAUAAGUGGUAUUAUACCAAUAUUCUGCCAAGGGUAACCAAUUAGCCCACUCAUGAGGUUUUUCAAAACACAUGCACCUCAAAUAACCCUCCAAGCAUCUGUUUAGCACCUCUGUUUGACCAUCUGUUUGGGGAUGGUAUGAACUAGACAUCUUCUACUCUACCCCUUGCAGUAGCAUCAGUUCCUUCCAAAAAUUGCUAAUAAACACCUUAUCUCGGUCAGAUAUAAUUGAUUUAGGAGGGCCAUGUAACCGAUAUAUGUGAUCCAAAUAUAGCUGAGCCACAUCAACUGCAGUAAAAGGAUGGUGUAAAGCAAUAAAGUGAGCACCCUUGCUUAACCUAUCCACCACCACCAAAAUGACAUCUUUACCCUUGGAUUUAGGCAACCCUUCAACAAAAUCCAUCGCUAUAUCUUCCCAUACCCCUUGAGAAAUUGGGAGAGGUUGUAACAUCCCAGGAUAAGCCACUGUUUCUGACUUACACUGCUGACAAACUAUACAAUUCUUAACAUAAGCUUUCACCUCUUUGUGCAGCUUUGGCCAAUAAAACAAUCUAGCAAUUCUGCUAGUAGUAGCAUGAAUGCCAGAAUGCCCUCCUUGUACUGAAGCAUGCAUCCACUGCAAUAUUUGUUCCCUUAAAGUUGUAGAAUUACUAAUGACCAACUUACCCUUUCUUCUUAAUUCUCCAUUGGACCAGCUAUAAUGACAAUGAGACAUAGGAUUCUGUUGCAGGUCUUGAAUGAUUUUUAACAACUCUCCAUCAUUAGACCAUCCUUCUUUAAUGGCUGCCCAUAUGUCUGUAUGAACAGAUGAUGCUGCUAACUGCAACACUUCCCCAUGAGUCACCCUCGAUAAUGCAUCAGCCACUUUAUUGUCUACACCUUUCUUGUACAUAAUCUCAAAGUUGAAUCCCAUCAAUUUAGAUAACCAUCUCUGCUGGAAAGGUGUGGAAAUCUUACUAUCCAACAAAUAUUUCAGACUAUGUUGGUCUGUCUUGAUCACAAAAUGAGCAUGAGCCAAAUAUGGUUGCCAUUUUUGGACAGCAUAUAUGAUGGCCAACAAUUCUCUCUCGUAAGUGGACAAAGACAUAUGUCUUGGAGACAAGGCCUUACUGAUAUAAGCGAUAGGAUGACCCUUUUGCAUUAGAACAGCACCUAUUCCGAACCCUGAUGCAUCUGUUUCCACCACAAAUGUUUCUUUAAAAUCUGGUAAUGCCAAUACAAGAGGUUGACUCAUACUCUCCUUCAAAUGUUCAAAAGCAUGUUGAGCAUCCGAAGACCAUCGAAAGGAGUCUUUUUUAAGCAAUUGAGUUAAGGGUUUGGUGAUGCUACUAUACCCUUUCACAAAUCUUCUAUAAUAACCAGUGAGUCCCAAAAAUCCCCUCAAUUCUUUGAUGUUGGUGGGUACAGGCCAUUGUUGUAUUGCAUAUACUUUUGCUAGAUUAGUUGCCACUCUUUGUUGAGAUAUUAUAUUACCCAAAUACUCCAGCUUAGUGGCUCCAAAUUCACACUUGCUUCUUUUGGCUACCAACUGAUGUUGUCUUAACACCAAUAGAACAUCUUUUAAAUGAGAUAAAUGAGUAUCCCAACAAGGACUAUACACCAAUAUAUCAUCAAAGAAAACCAGUACAUACUUCCUCAGAUAUUGUUUAAAAACCUGGUUCAUUAAACCUUGAAAGGUAGAUGGUGCAUUAGUCAGCCCAAAAGGCAUGACCAUAAACUCAAAAUGACCAUUAUGAGUUUUAAAUGUUGUUUUAUGGAUGUCUGCAUCAUCCAUUCUGAUCUGAUGGUACCUAGACUUGAGAUCCAAUUUAGAGAAAAAUUUUGUACCAUAUAAUUCAUCCAUCAAAUCUUCCACCAAUGGAAUAGGAAACCUGUCGGGAAUUGUAGCCUGAUUCAGUUUCCUAUAAUCUAUACACAUCCUCCAUGUACCAUCUUUUUUCUUGACUAGAACCACUGGUGAAACAAAAGAACUGGUACUGGACCGAAUUACCCCUUGUUCUAACAAAUCAUUAGUCAUUUUUUCUAUCACAUCCUUUUGCACCACAGGAUAUCUAUAAGGCCUUAAAUUCACCCCAUCAGUUCCUUGUUUCAAUGGAAUUCUGUGAUCAUACUGGCCCCUAGAUGGUGGUAAAGACUUUAAGUCUUGGAAGACAUCCUUGAAAUCCUCUAACAGCUUUUGUAGCUGCUGUUGUUGUUCUUUGGAUUGCUGAGUUUUCUGCAGUACCAUUGAAGUAUUUGUACUAUACCCUUCAAUGGCACAUACCUGCACCAUAGACAAUUCAGCUCUCUGUAACUCCAUUUUCUUCAAGCUACCCUUAGUAAUUUGAGAAAAUUUCCUCCCAUAUUGCCCCCUCAAAACUACUUUCUGACCAUUGAACUUGAAAGCAAUGGUUCUAUCAUUAUAAUUCAUCUUGAUGCUUCCUAAGGUUGUAAACCAUUGAACCCCCAAAACCAAAUCACAACCCCCCAAGGGCAUUACAUACACAUCCGCUGUGAAUUGAAUUCCUUGCAUGAUCCAAGAAAAUCCUUUCACCAUUUGAUCACAAAUUUCUUCAUGACCAUUUGCCACUUUUACUAACAUAGUUGGGCCCUUAACCAUCUUACACCCCAAUUGUUUGGCUAAUGCAAUAUCCAGAAAAUUAUGUGAACUUCCAGUAUCCAUUAACAAAUGUAAUUCAUGUUUUCCAUAAUGACCCG